RNAcentral lists this ribosomal RNA (497 nucleotides) under uncultured bacterium. Its description in RNAcentral is "partial 16S ribosomal RNA". It matches the Rfam family "Bacterial small subunit ribosomal RNA", at positions 28 to 507 of the family's 1533-position model. The record is from RNAcentral.
GAUGAACGCUGGCGGCGUGCCUAAUACAUGCAAGUCGAGCGAACAGACGAGGAGCUUGCUCCUCUGACGUUAGCGGCGGACGGGUGAGUAACACGUGGAUAACCUACCUAUAAGACUGGGAUAACUUCGGGAAACCGGAGCUAAUACCGGAUAAUAUAUUGAACCGCAUGGUUCAAUAGUGAAAGACGGUUUUGCUGUCACUUAUAGAUGGAUCCGCGCCGCAUUAGCUAGUUGGUAAGGUAACGGCUUACCAAGGCAACGAUGCGUAGCCGACCUGAGAGGGUGAUCGGCCACACUGGAACUGGGACACGGUCCAGACUCCUACGGGAGGCAGCAGUAGGGAAUCUUACGCAAUGGGCGAAAGCCUGACGGAGCAACGCCGCGUGAGUGAUGAAGGUCUUCGGAUCGUAAAACUCUGUUAUUAGGGAAGAACAAAUGUGUAAGUAACUAUGCACGCAUUGACGGUACCUAAUCAGAAAGCCACGGCUAACUACGUG